RNAcentral lists this non-coding RNA (21 nucleotides) under Rattus norvegicus (Norway rat). Lineage: Eukaryota; Metazoa; Chordata; Mammalia; Rodentia; Muridae. The record is from RNAcentral.
UGGUCCCAUUUCAUCCAGCUG